RNAcentral lists this ribosomal RNA (511 nucleotides) under uncultured bacterium. RNAcentral describes it as "bacterial SSU rRNA". It matches the Rfam family "Bacterial small subunit ribosomal RNA", at positions 34 to 518 of the family's 1533-position model. The record is from RNAcentral.
CGCUGGCGGCGUGCCUAAUACAUGCAAGUCGAACGGUCUUUCUAUGGAAGCUUGCUUCCACUGAGAAGAUAGUGGCGAACGGGUGAGUAACACGUGGGUAACCUGCCCAUAAGAGGGGGAUAACAUCCGGAAACGGGUGCUAAUACCGCAUAGUUUUCUUGAUCGCAUGAUUGAGAAAGGAAAGAUGGCCUUUGUGCUGUCGCUUAUGGAUGGACCCGCGGCGUAUUAGUUAGUUGGUGAGGUAACGGCUCACCAAGACGAUGAUACGUAGCCGACCUGAGAGGGUGAUCGGCCACAUUGGGACUGAGACACGGCCCAAACUCCUACGGGAGGCAGCAGUAGGGAAUCUUCCGCAAUGGACGAAAGUCUGACGGAGCAACGCCGCGUGAGUGAAGAAGGUUUUCGGAAUCAUAAAACUCUGUUGUCAGAGAAGAACAAGUUGGAGAGUAACUGCUCCAGCCUUGACGGUAUCUGACCAGAAAGCCACGGCUAACUACGUGCCAGCAGCAGC